RNAcentral lists this ribosomal RNA (396 nucleotides) under uncultured bacterium. RNAcentral's name for it is "bacterial SSU rRNA". It matches the Rfam family "Bacterial small subunit ribosomal RNA", at positions 29 to 416 of the family's 1533-position model. The record is from RNAcentral.
AACGAACGCUGGCGGCGCGCCUAACACAUGCAAGUCGAACGAGAAGGCGUAGCAAUACGCUUGUAAAGUGGCGAACGGGUGAGGAAUACGUGGGUAACCUACCCUCGAGUGGGGAAUAACCAACCGAAAGGUUGGCUAAUGCCGCGUACGCUUCCAUCUCUUCGGAGGUGGAAGGAAAGCUGUACCGUGGGUACAGCGCUCAAGGAUGGGCUCACGUCCUAUCAGCUUGUUGGUAGGGUAACGGCCCACCAAGGCAACGACGGGUAGCUGGUCUGAGAGGACGAUCAGCCACACUGGCACUGCGACACGGGCCAGACUCCUACGGGAGGCAGCAGUGAGGAAUAUUGCGCAAUGGGCGAAAGCCUGACGCAGCGACGCCGCGUGGGGAUGAAGGUC